CCCGAGAUGAGUUCUCCCUGAGACUUUAAGUCUCCUGAAGGAACGUUGAAGACGACGACGUUGAUAGGCCGGGUGUGUAAGCGCAGCGAUGCGUUGAGCUAACCGGUACUAAUGAACCGUGAGGCUUAACCUUA
RNAcentral lists this ribosomal RNA (134 nucleotides) under Klebsiella quasipneumoniae. Its description in RNAcentral is "partial 23S rRNA. Bacterial LSU". It matches the Rfam family "Bacterial large subunit ribosomal RNA", at positions 2798 to 2925 of the family's 2925-position model. Lineage: Bacteria; Pseudomonadati; Pseudomonadota; Gammaproteobacteria; Enterobacterales; Enterobacteriaceae. The record is from RNAcentral.